GACGAACGCUGGCGGCGUGCUUAACACAUGCAAGUCGAACGGAAAGGCCCUGCUUUUGUUGGGUGCUCGAGUGGCGAACGGGUGAGUAACACGUGAGUAACCUGCCCUUGUCUUUGGGAUAACUUCAGGAAACUGGGGCUAAUACCGGAUAGGAGCUCCUGCUGCAUGGUGGGGGUUGGAAAGUUUCGGCGGUUGGGGAUGGACUCGCGGCUUAUCAGCUUGUUGGUGGGGUAGUGGCUUACCAAGGCUUUGACGGGUAGCCGGCCUGAGAGGGUGACCGGCCACAUUGGGACUGAGAUACGGACCAGACUGCUACGGGAGGCAGCAGUGGGGAGUAUUGCACAAUGGGCGGAAGCCUGAUGCAGCAACGCCGCGUGCGGGAUGACGGCCUUCGGGUUGUAAACCGCUUUCGCCUGUGACGAAGCGUGAGUGACGGUAAUUGUUAAUUAAGCACCGGCUAACUACGUG
RNAcentral lists this ribosomal RNA (468 nucleotides) under uncultured bacterium. RNAcentral's name for it is "partial 16S ribosomal RNA". It matches the Rfam family "Bacterial small subunit ribosomal RNA", at positions 28 to 507 of the family's 1533-position model. The record is from RNAcentral.